GACGAACGCUGGCGGCGUGCUUAACACAUGCAAGUCGAACGGUGAAGCGAGUGCUUGCACUCGUGGAUCAGUGGCGAACGGGUGAGUAACACGUGAGUAACCUGCCCAUCACUCUGGGAUAAGCACUGGAAACGGUGUCUAAUACUGGAUACGACCAACCCUUGCAUGGGGUGCUGGUGGAAAGAUUUAUCGGUGAUGGAUGGACUCGCGGCCUAUCAGCUUGUUGGCGGGGUAAUGGCCCACCAAGGCGACGACGGGUAGCCGGCCUGAGAGGGUGACCGGCCACACUGGGACUGAGACACGGCCCAGACUCCUACGGGAGGCAGCAGUGGGAAAUAUUGCACAAUGGGCGAAAGCCUGAUGCAGCGACGCCGCGUGAGGGAUGACGGCCUUCGGGUUGUAAACCUCUUUCAGCAGGGAAGAAGCGAAAGUGACGGUACCUGCAGAAGAAGCACCGGCUAACUACGUGC
RNAcentral lists this ribosomal RNA (470 nucleotides) under uncultured bacterium. RNAcentral describes it as "partial 16S ribosomal RNA". It matches the Rfam family "Bacterial small subunit ribosomal RNA", at positions 28 to 508 of the family's 1533-position model. The record is from RNAcentral.